This is a non-coding RNA of Dasypus novemcinctus (nine-banded armadillo), 450 nucleotides long. Lineage: Eukaryota; Metazoa; Chordata; Mammalia; Cingulata; Dasypodidae. The record is from Rfam.
GGGUUGCGGAGGGAGGGCCCGGGAGGGGUGAGCGUCCAUUAUCGUCUAACCCUAACUGAGAUGGGCGUAGGCGCCGCGCUUUUGCUUCCCGCGCGCUGUUUUUCUCGCUGACUUUCAGCGGGCGGAAAAGCCUCGGCCUACUGCCGUCUACUGUCGUAUCUGGAGCAAACAAAAAAUGUCAGCCGCUGGUCCGCUCGCCCCAUCCGGGAACCUGCGGUGGCUCGUCCGCCCUGCCCCCGCGCUCCGCCUAGAGGCCGCGGUCCGCCCGGGGCUUCUCCGGAGGCACCCAAUGCAGCCGCGAAGAGUUAGGCUCUGUCAGCCGCGGAUCCCGCGGGGGCCAAGGGUGAGGCUUAGGCCGCGGGCCGCAGGAAGAAAAACCGAGCGAGUUCUCACGCGCGGUGCGCUUCCCUGAGCUGUGGGUCGUGCGCCUGGGACUCGGCUCAGACACGU